Molecule: ribosomal RNA, 253 nt
Filed under: uncultured bacterium
Lineage: Bacteria
Description: partial 16S ribosomal RNA
Rfam family: Bacterial small subunit ribosomal RNA
Source: RNAcentral
UACGGAGGGUGCUAGUGUUAUUCGGAAUCACUGGGCGUAAAGAGCACGUAGGCGGAUAGGUAAGUCAGAUGUGAAAUCCCGGAGCUCAACUUCGGAACUGCAUUUGAUACUGCCUGUCUUGAGUGUGGUAGAGGGGGAUGGAAUUCCCGGUGUAGAGGUGAAAUUCGUAGAUAUCGGGAGGAACACCAGAGGCGAAGGCGAUCCCCUGGGCCACUACUGACGCUGAGGUGCGAAAGCGUGGGGAGCAAACAGG